GAGGAAUCUUCCACAAUGGGCGAAAGCCUGAUGGAGCAACGCCGCGUGCAGGAUGAAGGCCUUCGGGUCGUAAACUGCUUUUAUAAGUGAAGAAUAUGACGGUAACUUAUGAAUAAGCACCGGCUAACUACGUGCCAGCAGCCGCGGUCAUACGUAGGGUGCAAGCAUUAUCCGGAGUGACUGGGCGUAAAGAGUUGCGUAGGUGGACAAGUUAGCGAAUAGUGAAAUCUGGUGGCUCAACCACACAGACUAUUAUUCGAACUGCUUGUCUCGAGAGUAGCAGAGGUAACUGGAAUUUCUAGUGUAGGAGUGAAAUCCGUAGAUAUUAGAAGGAACACCAAUGGCGUAGG
RNAcentral lists this ribosomal RNA (350 nucleotides) under uncultured bacterium. RNAcentral describes it as "bacterial SSU rRNA". It matches the Rfam family "Bacterial small subunit ribosomal RNA", at positions 356 to 721 of the family's 1533-position model. The record is from RNAcentral.